This 90-nucleotide transfer RNA is filed under the name Mycobacterium kansasii. Its description in RNAcentral is "tRNA-Ala(ggc)". The record is from RNAcentral. Lineage: Bacteria; Bacillati; Actinomycetota; Actinomycetes; Mycobacteriales; Mycobacteriaceae.
GCGGCCAGCGCGGCCGUGGAAGCGCUGACGGCGCGGCUGGCGGCCGCGCAUGCUGCCGCGGCUCCGUCGAUCGUCGCGGUGGUGCCGCCC